Cyanistes caeruleus (blue tit) is the source of this 5106-nucleotide non-coding RNA. NCBI's taxonomy places the organism in Eukaryota, Metazoa, Chordata, Aves, Passeriformes, Paridae. The record is from RefSeq and is a predicted model, not a curated record.
UGCCAGGACCGGGGUGGGCGGCGGAGGGAGGAGGUUUGGUUGCGCCGUGCCGCCGCCGCAGUGCAGCACCGAUAUUCACGAACGCUGCUACGCCAGGGGCUGCCGGCGCCGCCGCGCAGGGCAUCGGGGUCUGCGCAAGUGGCGCAGCUGCUUCAUGGCGGCUGCUCGGCCGCCGUGUUCCUGCACCGUUCGCUGCCGAGCUGCAGCUCUCCCAGAGCUCCAGAGCCAAGGGCCUGCCGUGGGAGCUGCAGGCACGUUCACAGAAGGGUACUUUAAUAUAUAUGCUAGUAUAUAUGUUCAUAAGAUUUUUGUUUGUUUGGAGUUUUUAAAAUUUUAUUCAAUAAAUUUAUUUAAGCUUCCUCCGUCAGCCCACAUUUCGGAUUCGGCUGAGGUAAAAAAAAAUGAGCCGAUAGUAGACGGUAGCCCUGAGCUUGCAAUCAGACCCGGUGGACGAAGUUUGCUAUCUGAGCUCCAGGAGGCUGUCUGUACAGAUCCAGUUUCAGGAUUGAAUGCUGAAGGAUUCAGCAGGAUAUAUGGUGUUCCAUAGCUCACACUGACUUUGGCAGGUGAGAACCAAAGAAGUUUCUGUGCUUGGCUGCUCAUAGCAUCCCUUCAGAUGUGCCACACUUUGUCAGCCUCAGAGACCUGCUGCAUGAAUACAAUUGAUGAAGGCAGUGAACCAUAAUGCAGAGGACAAAAAAAAUUGUGAAAUGCCUUCUAUUUCAAGCAUCUCACCUUCUCCUUAAAUUCCUUCACUUCUUGGCAUGGGAGACACCAUUAUUCAUAUCUGAGAAUGUAGCAGCCCAAUUGUUUGUUUGACUAUUUGGGAAAAAAAUUACCUAAAGAAUCUUUUUUUCGGUCUAUCCCCUUGACUUUACCAACAAAAAAACCCCACAGCCCCUGUCCUCCCAACAAACAAAUCCUACCAACCAACCAAAGAAACAUACAAAAAAACCAAAAAGGAAUUUUAUGUCUAGCAGUUGCAGUGCCACCUUGCAUCCAUCAGUCCCCUUUGUGAUUUGUCCAAAUUCUACCUCCCCUUUGUAUUUUCCCCCUUUCUCUCCUCUGCUUGCACUGGACACCAGUGAUGCUUUCAUUCAAAUCAGGUGGUUUCCAAUUGGCAUAGUGGUGGUUCUGGAUUUGUUCCUGCAAGUCUGAACUUGCAGAAUCGAUGCAUAAUUCCAGCCUGAGUGCACUGGCACCGGUUAUUUUGAGAAGGGAUGUCUAUCAAGUGUCCUGAGGAACCCUCUGCGUUGCAGGCUGUGUGGCACAGGAGCAGGAGUUGCUGCUCAGAUGCAUCAUCUGGCUGAGAGGAAGAGAGAUGUCCCUUGCUGCACAUAUGGGAGAGCUCAGAAGCCGGGCAGGCUCCUAUGGAAAGAGCCCAUGAGAUGUGGGAAAGGAGCUUUCAGAGCUGGGAGCUUUCCCUUACUGCUGCCGAGCUGGAAUCACCACUACUUACCCGGUGUAAUAGGUUGCCUUGCAGUGAUUCCAAGGCUGGGCCCUGCUGGGUGGGGGUUCCAGACAGUGCUGGUGACAGGGUGGCUGGGGCUGUGUGGCACUGCACAUCUCAUCCCAUGCUGGCCAGGGGGCUGGCUGGGCUGCCUUUAUUCAGAGUGCCCCAUUAAAGCAGCGUGGACAUGCAGAUAAUGUGAGCCAAAGCACCCGUGUAGAGAAUUACUGCAGAGUAAGUAAUGCACUGGCAAUUCACACCCUAGUUUAUUCCAUGUUAAUUUCUCCAACAUAAUCACCUCCUGCACCUUCUAAUUUCCCCAACAGUUUUUCAGCCUGUGCCUUUAUUCGCAGCCUUAUUUUUCUCCGAAGCCAUCAUGACGCACCCGAUGAAUGAAGUAGCUGGCACACACAUUUAACCAAAUGUGAAAUGUACUCGUUUAGUUUUACCUGUGAUAGAAGCCUGUCUCAAGGAGAGCUGUACUAUAGAAAAAAAAGGGCUGGGGAAAAAAGAAAAAAAAGCAAAACCCAAACCCAAACUGAAAAAUACACCUCUAUUUUUCAUUUAAACAUUUCUUUUGGCACUUCUACUGAAGCAGAAUGUUCUUAACAGCAAACCCAUUCAUACUGUGCAGAUUGACUUUUAGAGGAAUUGUUUGCAUUGUCUCUUGGAAAAAUGCACUAAUAAUACACUGGGUAUGUGCUUAAAUUGUACAAUAUAGCAUGGAUGGUGUCAAAACAUUGCAGAAGGCUUUGUGCUUGUUCUCUACAGGAUUUAAAUUUGCAGAGUAUUGCUAUUAAACUUCUGUAUAUCUGUAGAGGUGACUUUGAGUGACACUGAUUUAACAAUACUCACUGAGGCAAGAUCAUUCCUACCCUUCUAGACAGUGGUACAGUUUAAGCCACCUGGGAGGUCCCUUCUCUUUCCCCUUCCUUUGGAAAAUCCUUUGCAGUAGAUUUCACUGAGCCUUCCAUAUAAUAAAUUAUUUUGCUUUCACUCCGGUGUCUUCUGAAAUGCUGCACCUAAUACCUUAACUCACCAGCUGGAUUCCUGCUCCUCAGAACCAGACACACUAAAAAAAUAUAUUAAAAAAUCCACCUCCUGAUUCCCAAUUUAAGACUCAGAAGACUUACUGGAUUUCUCAAGUGUAACAAUAUGUCUGGCAGUUACAAUUGCACAGGACUCUUACGGUGGUUCUCCCUCUGAAAUCUGGAAAGAUACUUGGGGUGUGACUUGAGAAUUAGCCAGUGAAAACUGCCUGGAAUAGUCAAGUGUCAGAGAUAGUGAGAUUUCACCAGGGAGUGUUUGUACAGGCCGUGAGGGAAGCGAGGCAGUGCCCAUAGCAGCACAGCUUGCUUUGCUUUCACAGGCCUAUUUAGAACUGGGAAUAUUUUUAGCUGAUAUAAUUGUACUAAUGCAUAAUCAUCAUAACUUGCAAAGAGGAAGAUUGCAUAUGUAUUCCCAGAAUGGUUUAGGACAACAAACCAACCAAAAAAUAAACCCAGCAGUGACUGUCUUCUCAUCAGGUCCAGUUCAGUGAAAUAUAUAAGCUGCAAAAUUUUCACAUUCUCUAGUUUUUUAAAAUGACAUAUUUUUUCAUGGUCCUUAGCUCAGCAGAGUGAGUGUGCUGUGCUGCAGUGUUCUGUUUCUGGCAUUGGUUAGCACCACCUUUACAAUAAAGUAGGAAAGAUUUCAAAUUUUUAAUUUUCAUUAUUUGCUAGGAGAGGAGUUUUUCUUUCUCCUAACCACUGCCAGCUCAUGUUUGAUUUACCUUAGAGCAUGUCUAUAAUUUGUAAUUUUUAUAGUUAUUAAAAUUUCUAUUUUCUAUGUUAAUGUCUAAUUUUGACAGCUUUUAGGCCCUCUAGUAGCACAUUUCAAUGAGUUCUGUGGUUUAAUUGUAUGGUGUUUAAGAAGUAAUAAUCCUUGUAUCAGUUUUAGGAUGUAUUGGCUUGAUUCCAGUGUAAUCUGUCUGCUUAAGUGGUUUUGUGGCAAUCAUCUUCUAUAUGAAAUACUUAUCAUAUUCAGAGAUACCUACUGCAGCUGAACACAAAGUACAGUUGGUUGAGUUAGAAGAGCAUCUGAAUGUCCUAUAGCUGCAUUGCAUUACUCCUUAAAAAAUAUCUGUUAUUGAUGAACUCAGAAGCAUGGGUGGGAAAUUACUGUUACUGAAAUGCUGCACAUGAUCUUACCAAUCUAAUUUCGUAUUUUCUUUCUCAGUGAAGAGGAUGCUGUGUCGUGGUUUGUGUGUGAAGAAACAAUAGGAAUACACCACAGAACAUUUAUAUACAUUUACCUGCUUGUAGCAAAGGGCUUUUGUUGGAUGUAAAGAGCUGCUCCUUGCUCUGUGCCUUAGUUUUCCAUGGGCAGAAGCACAGAAUGUCUUCUUAAAAUUUAAGAAAUUGCAUAAAGGAAGUGCUUUGGGAAGAGAGAUGGGAGAAGAGAACCAAAGCCACUACCAGAACAUGACCUAAAUCAGGACAAACAUUGGAAGACUGUCAGAUGUUUCAAAAGAAAGAAGGUUGGAUCUGACUCUGAAAGUGGCUUCUAUUAACUAAUGCAUUUGUUUUACGUGUGAAUAGUUGGAUCCCUAGACUGAGAUGAUAUUGGCUUGAAUUUACAAAAGUUUAUACAGGGGGUGUUUGACAGUGCUGCAAAAAGGACAAAGGAGACACAGUACAAGACCAAAUUAAGAUGUAGUUAAUUAGUCUGUGUGAUAGUUCUUUCCAGCAGGGAAAGGAAGGUUAAGAAAUAAAGUCAUUGUAUUCAUGGAAAAGCAAACCCCGAGCGAGUGCGUCACACAGGAAGUCUUGGGAGUUACUCCAGAUUUAUGCUGAUGUAACAGGACACAAGAGAAAAAUGUAUGACUUUCUGUCCUAAGCAGAUGGAAUACUGUUAAGUGACAGCUCCAGCAGGAACAGAUUUGGGAAGUACUGUUUUUAAAGGCUUGUUAAAGCAGAAUGUUUUAAAGAAAGGUUGGAAAUAGCAGGAAGAGGAAUCAUCUUCAUUUUUCAGGUUUAAAUAUAAUGUAAUGCCUGAGUAGUGCAUUACAAGUCCAUGCUGCUGAUAAUGCUGGAAUCCUAUCCAGUGGCCUCUGUUUCCCCAGUUCUAUUGUCAAGUAAUCUAUUUAAAUUUAGACUAUGAGGGGGAAAGACCAAUACUAGUACUGAUCCAAGACGUGGGUAUUCCUGGUCUGUGCUGGACUCAAGGUAGGCUGUCUAUCCUUGGCUUGUGAUCUUCCUGUUCUACUGCUGAAGUACUGAAAGAAAAACGUUAGUUGAAAGAACUGAGAGAGACCUUAUAAAUGUGCUAAAAGGCAUCAGGGCAGUUUUAAAGCUCUUUGUGAAAAAGUAAAACACAAAUGUGGCCUUUUGCCUCUCCACCAGCGUAAUAAAUGCCAUCAAACGUUCCAUUAGUACCAUGCUGUGUUUUCCAAGAAGAGAAAUGUCAUCAUGUUCAUCCUAUUCAAUUUUUAAAAAUAUCUCUCUCUCUGUCUCCUUCAUAACACUAUCGAGGAGACUGGACAAAGUUAAACACAGCAAUUCAAAAGUCAGAUCCAUUAGCCAAGAUGGAAUUGGACUCUCUGCUAAAAGAAGAAUGAUGAAAAGUACUGACAGAAUGACCACACUGAGGAUUUCUUUAAUUUAGAUAUUGCAGUU